AGCUCCAAUAGCGUAUAUUAAAGUUGUUGCAGUUAAAAAGCUCGUAGUUGAAUUUUGGGCCUGGUCGGGUGGUCUUGCUGCUUUACUGUGGUAAGCACCGCUUGGUCGGGUCUUUCCUUCUGGGGAACUAGUGCUGCCUUUUACUGGGACUGGCCUAGCGAUCCAGGACUUUUACUUUGAAAAAAUUAGAGUGUUCAAAGCAGGCAAUUUUCGCUUGAAUACAUUAGCAUGGAAUAAUAAAAUAGGACUCUUGGUUCUAUUUUGUUGGCUUCUAGGACCAAAGUAAUGAUUAAUAGGGAUAGUUGGGGACGUUAGUAUUUUGUUGUCAGAGGUGAAAUUCUUAGAUUGACAAAAGACUAACUUCUGCGAAAGCAUUCGUCAAGGAUGUUUUCA
RNAcentral lists this ribosomal RNA (393 nucleotides) under uncultured eukaryote. Its description in RNAcentral is "SSU rRNA". It matches the Rfam family "Eukaryotic small subunit ribosomal RNA", at positions 587 to 972 of the family's 1831-position model. The record is from RNAcentral.